GGUUCCGUGGUCUAGUUGGUUAUGGCACCUCGUUAACACCGAGAAGGUCCCCGGUUCAAGCCCGGGCGGAAUCA
Molecule: transfer RNA, 74 nt
Filed under: Dactylonectria estremocensis
Lineage: Eukaryota; Fungi; Ascomycota; Sordariomycetes; Hypocreales; Nectriaceae
Description: tRNA-Val
Source: RNAcentral